AACGAACGCUGGCGGCAGGCCUAACACAUGCAAGUCGAACGGGCGUAGCAAUACGUCAGUGGCAGACGGGUGAGUAACACGUGGGAACCUUCCUCGUAGUACGGAACAACUCAGGGAAACUUGAGCUAAUACCGUAUACGUCCGAGAGGAGAAAGAUUUAUCGCUAUGAGACGGGCCCGCGUCCGAUUAGCUAGUUGGUGGGGUAACGGCCUACCAAGGCAACGAUCGGUAGCUGAUCUGAGAGGGCGCACGGACACACUGGAACUGAAACACGGUC
Molecule: ribosomal RNA, 277 nt
Filed under: uncultured bacterium
Lineage: Bacteria
Description: partial 16S ribosomal RNA
Rfam family: Bacterial small subunit ribosomal RNA
Source: RNAcentral